Molecule: ribosomal RNA, 253 nt
Filed under: uncultured bacterium
Lineage: Bacteria
Description: partial 16S ribosomal RNA
Rfam family: Bacterial small subunit ribosomal RNA
Source: RNAcentral
UACGUAGGGGGCAAGCGUUGUCCGGAAUUAUUGGGCGUAAAGAGCGUGUAGGCGGUCCGGUAAGUCGGCUGUGAAAGUCCAGGGCUCAACCCUGGAAUGCCGGUGGAAACUGUCGGGCUGGAGUCCGGAAGAGGCGAGUGGAAUUCCUGGUGUAGCGGUGAAAUGCGCAGAUAUCAGGAGGAACACCAAUGGCGAAGGCAGCUCGCUGGGACGGUACUGACGCUGAGACGCGAAAGCGUGGGGAGCAAACAGG